RNAcentral lists this ribosomal RNA (403 nucleotides) under bacterium. RNAcentral's name for it is "partial 16S ribosomal RNA". It matches the Rfam family "Bacterial small subunit ribosomal RNA", at positions 355 to 776 of the family's 1533-position model. The record is from RNAcentral.
UGGGGAAUAUUGCACAAUGGGGGAAACCCUGAUGCAGCGACGCCGCGUGAACGAAGAAGGUAUUCGUAUCGUAAAGUUCUGUCCUAUGGGAAGAUAAUGACAGUACCAUAGAAGAAAGCUCCGGCUAAAUACGUGCCAGCAGCCGCGGUAAUACGUAUGGAGCGAGCGUUGUCCGGAAUUAUUGGGCGUAAAGGGUACGCAGGCGGUUUAAUAAGUCGAAUGUUAAAGAUCGGGGCUCGACCCCGUAAAGCAUUGGAAACUGAUAAACUUGAGUAGUGGAGAGGAAAGUGGAAUUCCUAGUGUAGUGGUGAAAUACGUAGAUAUUAGGAGGAAUACCAGUAGCGAAGGCGACUUUCUGGACACAAACUGACGCUGAGGUACGAAAGCGUGGGGAGCAAACAGG